RNAcentral lists this ribosomal RNA (253 nucleotides) under uncultured bacterium. Its description in RNAcentral is "partial 16S ribosomal RNA". It matches the Rfam family "Bacterial small subunit ribosomal RNA", at positions 524 to 776 of the family's 1533-position model. The record is from RNAcentral.
UACGUAGGGUGCGAGCGUUAAUCGGAAUUACUGGGCGUAAAGCGUGCGUAGACGGUUAUUUAAGUCGGGUGUGAAAGCCCAGGGCUCAACCCUGGAAUUGCUUUCAAAACUGUGAGACUAGAAUCCGGGAGAGGAUAGCGGAAUUUCCAGUGUAGUAGUGAAAUACGUAGAUAUUGGAAGGAACACCAGUGGCGUAAGCGGCUAUCUGGACCGGCAUUGACGCUGAGGCACGAAAGCGUGGGGAUCAAACAGG